AGCAGUCGCCGCGGGAAAACGAAGGGGGCUAGCGUUGUUCGGAUUUACUGGGCGUAAAGCGCACGUAGGCGGACUUUUAAGUCAGGGGUGAAAUCCCGGGGCUCAACCCCGGAACUGCCUUUGAUACUGGAAGUCUUGAGUAUGGUAGAGGUGAGUGGAAUUCCGAGUGUAGAGGUGAAAUUCGUAGAUAUUCGGAGGAACACCAGUGGCGAAGGCGGCUCACUGGACCAUUACUGACGCUGAGGUGCGAAAGCGUGGGGAGCAAACAGGAUUAGAUACCCCCGUAGUCCCUGUCUCUUAUAC
Molecule: ribosomal RNA, 303 nt
Filed under: uncultured bacterium
Lineage: Bacteria
Description: partial 16S ribosomal RNA
Rfam family: Bacterial small subunit ribosomal RNA
Source: RNAcentral